GGAGCAGCCUAGGAGAAAAAAAAAAAAAAAUUGUCCCUGAAAAGCAUUUGUACAAACCUCUCUAAAUCAUCCCAUCCUUUCAUGAGUUGCAGUCCAGUACACCCUUGAGCAAAUUGAGACCCUCAGCUGAUAUGCUUCUUCGAACUCGAAAUUGUGGGAUCUCCAUCCGAGGGGGUGGGUCUGGCGAGAAACAAACCACUAUCACUGUUACGUUAUCACAUGUGCUGCGCUUUAGAGCCUCCCUGACCAACUCUCUUGAGCAUCUUUCAGCAUC
RNAcentral lists this unclassified non-coding RNA (274 nucleotides) under Hevea brasiliensis (rubber tree). Lineage: Eukaryota; Viridiplantae; Streptophyta; Magnoliopsida; Malpighiales; Euphorbiaceae. The record is from RNAcentral.